This 877-nucleotide long non-coding RNA is filed under the name Lepisosteus oculatus (spotted gar). RNAcentral's name for it is "lncRNA (ENSLOCG00000022060.1)". Lineage: Eukaryota; Metazoa; Chordata; Actinopteri; Semionotiformes; Lepisosteidae. The record is from RNAcentral.
UGAAGUAUAUAUUUUAUUUUUCACAGAGGCACUUGGAGAAAGAGAGGCAAUUACUCCUAAGCCACUUAUGACUAAUUUGAAAUCUAUUUCCAUGUAGCAACAAAAUUAGGGAGCAAAAGUGACAGCUGUUUAAUUAAAUUCCAGAGCCACUGAGUUGGCGUUAAUGUGCAAAAACUCAGCAGAGCUGCAGCGAGGAACUGUGGAGUGAGCCUACAGCAACAGUAACCUGAACUGCAUCCAGUCAAAACUGUGCUGGGGUCUUUUAAUGUGUGUAAGGUGUUAAUGCGUUGAAGAGACUUGUUUGAAAGAAAAGGGCAAAGUUAAUUUGGUGGAAGUAAUGUGAAGCACUAGAUUUUAUGAUUCACAAACACUUUGCUGGCCCCCUGAGAGAGAGGAGCAGAUCGCUUUAGGAUCUGAUCACUGCAUAUUCUCCUGAUUCCUCCCUGAUUUUUCCUGUUUUUUUUCCUAGAUUUCUUCUUGGACAGGGCUUUGAGAAUGUCGGCUUCCCGUUAUCUGUAUCGUCUUCGCAGAAAUGGCUGCCCUGUACUGCAGACGGAGGUGGGGAGAGACUCGGUGACGUUCGUACAGGAGGAGGAGACGAUUUGCGCCGCGUCAAGCCAGCUCGUUACAGCGGGUUCCUGCCAACUGUGGUGCGGGCUGGGCAGAGCACAGACUAAACCUCAACUUGCUCCUUCGGAGGUGGAAUGAGGGCGCAUUCCGAGCUGUCUCCCGCCCUGCAGCUCAGCCGGCGACAAUGCCAGACUGUGACCGCUUGGGAAGCCCCACUGCGGUGCUCCCAUGACCACAAGAGCCGUGAGUUCCGUUGCUUUUAAUUAACGCCCGCUGCUCCAACGCACCACUGACACUGCAAAAAAAC